This 292-nucleotide ribosomal RNA is filed under the name uncultured bacterium. Its description in RNAcentral is "partial 16S ribosomal RNA". It matches the Rfam family "Bacterial small subunit ribosomal RNA", at positions 505 to 796 of the family's 1533-position model. The record is from RNAcentral.
GUGUCAGCAGCCGCGGUAAUACGGAGGGUGCAAGCGUUAAUCGGAAUUACUGGGCGUAAAGCGCGCGUAGGCGGCUUGUUAAGUCGGAUGUGAAAUCCCCGGGCUCAACCUGGGAACUGCAUUCGAUACUGGCUGGCUAGAGUGUGGUAGAGGGAAGUGGAAUUCCAGGUGUAGCGGUGAAAUGCGUAGAUAUCUGGGGGAACAUCAGUGGCGAAGGCGGCUUCCUGGACCAACACUGACGCUGAGGCGCGAAAGCGUGGGGAGCAAACAGGAUUAGAAACCCGUGUAGUCC